UUGGUUUCACCCGAAGGCUGUGCGCUAACCGCAAGGAGGCAGCAGACCACGGUGGGAUCAGCGACUGGGGUGAAGUCGUAACAAGGUAGCYGUAGGUGAACCUGCAGAAGGAUCA
This 115-nucleotide ribosomal RNA is filed under the name uncultured eukaryote. Its description in RNAcentral is "partial small subunit ribosomal RNA". The record is from RNAcentral.